RNAcentral lists this ribosomal RNA (490 nucleotides) under uncultured bacterium. RNAcentral's name for it is "partial 16S ribosomal RNA". It matches the Rfam family "Bacterial small subunit ribosomal RNA", at positions 30 to 507 of the family's 1533-position model. The record is from RNAcentral.
AUUGAACGCUGGCGGCAGGCCUAACACAUGCAAGUCGAAUGGUAACAGGAAACAGCUUGCUUUUUCGCUGACGAGUGGCGGACGGGUGAGUAAUGUCUGGGAAACUGCCUGAUGGAGGGGGAUAACUACUGGAAACGGUAGCUAAUACCGCAUAACGUCGCAAGACCAAAAAGGGGGACCUUCGGGCCUCUUGCCAUCGGAUGUGCCCAGAUGGGAUUAGCUAGUAGGUGGGGUAACGGCUCACCUAGGCGACGAUCCCUAGCUGGUCUGAGAGGAUGACCAGCCACACUGGAACUGAGACACGGUCCAGACUCCUACGGGAGGCAGCAGUGGGGAAUAUUGCACAAUGGGCGCAAGCCUGAUGCAGCCAUGCCGCGUGUAUGAAGAAGGCCUUCGGGUUGUAAAGUACUUUCAGCGGGGAGGAAGGGAGUAAAGUUAAUACCUUUGCUCAUUGACGUUACCCGCAGAAGAAGCACCGGCUAACUCCGUG